This is a long non-coding RNA of Thunnus maccoyii (southern bluefin tuna), 1157 nucleotides long. RefSeq lists it as uncharacterized. The transcript has 2 exons. The record is from RefSeq and is a predicted model, not a curated record. NCBI's taxonomy places the organism in Eukaryota, Metazoa, Chordata, Actinopteri, Scombriformes, Scombridae.
UCUUCAGUUCCUCUCAGCAGACACACACACUCAUCGCCAGCCCUCGGCAUUUUGUUUCCAGUCCCCGCUCGCUUCUCCCAGUCCUCGUUCUUUCACUCCUUCUCCCCAGACCUGCUGUCCUCAAGCUGUCCACCAGAUGCCCUCGGACUUUCCCUGCUUUCCCCGUCGACACACCUGUUCCCACUUCUCAUCAGUCCAGCAGCUACGUGGACCACUCCUCACCUGCGACUCAUUUCCCUCAUCAGACACACUAUUUAUACCGGUCCGCUUCUUUUAUUCUCUGCCAGUUUGUCAUAGUUGCUUUCAUGGACUCUCAUGUUCUAACCAACUCGUUUUGACCUGUGAGUUUUUGAGCAUUAAAGCCUCCUCAGUCAUUCCACCUGUCCGCCUCGUUCUCAUUCGUGACAACAGACAGACUGAUCAUCUGCUGAGAGGAUGAUGGAUGCCAGCUGACCGCUGCAGCUCGUUCAAACACUGACAAACAAUGUAAUGAACGUUUGCAUGGUUGCCUAAUUAAUUAAUGAGAGAUCUGCCAGUUAAUUGGUGGUGACAACAGAUCCAUCAGGACUCACCUGCGGGUCUGCAGUCCCGGUUAUUCAGCUGGAUUUCCACACAGCAGAUGAGCCUGUGAGCAGCAUCGUUGUCUGUCGGAGUGUUUUCACAGCUGAGGCAGAGGAGCAGGAGUGAAAAUCAGCCUGAUGAUCGCAGGAUGUUGUUUUAUAAUCUGCGGUGAAAGACGAGCGACGUCCGUCCCGUUUGUCUCCCCCCCGCACAGAGCGCUCACCUGCCGGCGUGUCCGCGCCUGUCAGUCCCGCUGCUGCUCCUCCAUCAUCCGGAGCUCGGCGGUCCUCUCCGGUGCUUCAGCUCCAGCGGGAUGAACACAGGUUAACAGUUACAUCAGAAGACACAGAGAGAGAAAGACGCCCCCCAGCGGCCCCUUCAGACACAUGAUUAUAAAAUUCCUGCUGAGAAUGACUUAAAUACUCAUUUUUAAUCUUAAUCCUGCAGAUUGGAGACCUGCAGACCCCGCAGGUAUACCGUCAUAUCUUUAUUCUAUCACUCCAGUGUUUCAUGUCAGUUUGUCUCUAAUGACUUCAUAUCAUCGUUUCCUGUUUCUGUUUUAAUUAGAUCUUUAUUAAAACUGCGUAGGACCCCAA